ACCAAUCUACUAGGCUUUGAAUUUCAUGGUUAAUGUUUUGUUUUAAGUGCAUUCAAGCAUGAUUCCACCUUUUAAUUGUUAAUUGCAUGCUAUAGAUGUUGCUUAAAUGAACAUGUUUUCACAAAAUUAUCCUUCAAGUGGUAUCAGAGCCUAGGUCUAGUAGUUGGUGAAUCCUUUUGGGUUUUGUAUUAUCAUAGUUUAUGAUUUGAAUGUUGUAAUUGUUACAAGCUUUAUUCUUGCUUCUUUGAAUGUAAAUUUUGUUAGA
RNAcentral lists this long non-coding RNA (265 nucleotides) under Malus domestica (apple). Its description in RNAcentral is "long non-coding RNA (MDOM_LNC008293)". Lineage: Eukaryota; Viridiplantae; Streptophyta; Magnoliopsida; Rosales; Rosaceae. The record is from RNAcentral.